This 31-nucleotide non-coding RNA is filed under the name Rattus norvegicus (Norway rat). Lineage: Eukaryota; Metazoa; Chordata; Mammalia; Rodentia; Muridae. The record is from RNAcentral.
UAAGGUUUGACCUUGAAAUUGUGCCUCAAGU